Aphidius gifuensis is the source of this 378-nucleotide long non-coding RNA. RefSeq lists it as uncharacterized. The transcript has 3 exons. The record is from RefSeq and is a predicted model, not a curated record. NCBI's taxonomy places the organism in Eukaryota, Metazoa, Arthropoda, Insecta, Hymenoptera, Braconidae.
GCAACGUCCGUCGCAACUCUCGACUUUUUCGGGUAUAAAAGUGUUCAAAUAAUUAUUAAUUGAUGUAAUUAUUGUUGAAUAAACUCUCGCGAAUCUUUUGAGUACAUUUUUGUUGCUCAAUUUUGCUUUAAACAAUGGAUGUCGGCAAGUUAAGUUGUCGACAAAAUGACGCUGACAAAAAUGGACAUAUUCCAACAAAAUGCUCCAAAAAUGGCAAUACAAUUUUGACCAUAAAUCAGCUUGAACGGACUAAUAAUGGAAAAAAUUGUUGAACACGAUGAUAUUUGAGAUUACAACAAAUGCUAAAAAAUGGCAAUACAAUUUUGACCAUAAAUGGAGCAAUAACAAAGAAAACUGUUAAACAUGAUGAUAUUAAAG